AAAUAUGAGUCAAACAAGAAAGUGAGUGAGUAAUAUUUCGAUUUUAUUACAAAAUCAUGAUGAUUUAAUUUGUAAUAAAAUCGAAAUAUUACUCACUCACUUUCUUGUUUGACUCAUAUUUUG
Non-coding RNA from Paramuricea clavata, 123 nucleotides. The record is from the annotation of a GenBank genome assembly. Lineage: Eukaryota; Metazoa; Cnidaria; Anthozoa; Malacalcyonacea; Plexauridae.